UAACAUCCGGAAACGGGUGCUAAUACCGCAUAGUUUCUUGAUCGCAUGAUCGAGAAAGGAAAGACGGCCUUUGUGCUGUCGCUUAUGGAUGGACCCGCGGCGUAUUAGGUUAGUUGGUGAGGUAACGGCUCACCAAGACGAUGAUACGUAGCCGACCUGAGAGGGUGAUCGGCCACAUUGGGACCGAGACACGGCCCAAACUCCUACGGGAGGCAGCAGUAGGGAAUCUUCCGCAAUGGACGAAAGUCUGACGGAGCAACGCCGCGGUGAGUGAAGAAAGGUUUUCGGAUCGUAAAACUCUGUUGUCAGAGAAGAACAAGGUCGGAGAGUAACUGCUCCGGCCUUGACGGUAUCUGACCAGAAAGCCACGGCUAACUACGUGCCAGCAGCGGC
Molecule: ribosomal RNA, 393 nt
Filed under: uncultured bacterium
Lineage: Bacteria
Description: bacterial SSU rRNA
Rfam family: Bacterial small subunit ribosomal RNA
Source: RNAcentral